UACGAGGGGGGCAAGCGUUUGUUCGGAAUUAUUGGGCGUAAAGGGUGCGUAGGCGGUUUGAUAAGUCAUCUGUGAAAUCUCUGGGCUCAACCCAGAGUCUGCAGGCGAAACUGUCGGGCUUGAGUAUGGGGAGAGGUGAGUGGAACUGCGAGUGUAGAGGUGAAAUUCGUAGAUAUUCGCAAGAACACCAGUGGCGAAGGCGGCUCACUGGCUCGGUACUGACGCUGAGGUGCGAAAGCGUGGGGAGCAAACAGG
This 255-nucleotide ribosomal RNA is filed under the name uncultured bacterium. RNAcentral describes it as "partial 16S ribosomal RNA". It matches the Rfam family "Bacterial small subunit ribosomal RNA", at positions 524 to 776 of the family's 1533-position model. The record is from RNAcentral.